UUGACCUCAAAUCAGGUAGGACUACCCGCUGAACUUAAGCAUAUCAAUAAGCGGAGGAAAAGAAACUAACAGGGAUUCCCCUAGUAACUGCGAGUGAAGCGGGAAAAGCUCAA
This 113-nucleotide ribosomal RNA is filed under the name uncultured Piloderma. Its description in RNAcentral is "partial 28S ribosomal RNA". It matches the Rfam family "Eukaryotic large subunit ribosomal RNA", at positions 1 to 112 of the family's 3401-position model. Lineage: Eukaryota; Fungi; Basidiomycota; Agaricomycetes; Atheliales; Atheliaceae. The record is from RNAcentral.